GCCCCACCGGAGGAGGCCCUCAGUGGAGCAAGAUGGCCUGCUGACCUCUGAGCAACCAAGAGGACGGACAUGCUGCCCUCUCAACUCACUCCGGCACCUUACUUACUGGACACUUUAAACAUGUGCGCUGUGACUCAUUCUAUCAGAUACUGGAUGCUCUCAGCAGGAAACAAGCCAGAAGAACAAGUUCCAUGCUUCGAUGAUGGUCCUGACCUUUCCACAUACAAAUUAAUGGAGCUUUCGAAGCUAGGAGAACCUCAGAGGGAAAAGGAUGACCUGAUCCCAGGAAGCUCAGAGUGAAGGCCCCACGCUGCCCAGGCCUCCGGACUCAGGUGACACGGUGGGUCCAGGGCUUCCUGCUUGACAGCAU
This is a long non-coding RNA of Bos taurus (domestic cattle), 370 nucleotides long. Lineage: Eukaryota; Metazoa; Chordata; Mammalia; Artiodactyla; Bovidae. The record is from Ensembl.